AAAGUUGCAAACUGACGGCACCUACUGGCAACUAUCAAGACUGCAGAAGAUCUGGAGAGUUCUGACGGGGUGGGGGGCGGGAGGGCCCGGGGACAAGAUUCUGGGAUUCUCUCCCUGCUAUCUCACAGACAAACUGGGGUCUUUUCUGUCUUGGAUAAGGGCAAACAGAGCCAGGCUCUUUACGUCCCCGGGGGAAGCCCAGCCUGCACCUGAUUCAGAAAACUUCCCCUAGCUCUAUCCCCCUCCAUCAUCACUGAGGCACCAACGUAUUGUAUGAACUUGGACACCACCCCUUGGAGCUGGAAUUGUCCCUAACUAUAAAAUGGAGGUAUAUCAUCUCCACCUAUUCUGCCUCUUGAAGAGCUUGUGGGAAUAAAAUGGGAACUGAAAGGAUGGGUUCCAACCCCAAAGCCAGACUUGCCCCCUUGACAGCAAACCUGAGAGAGCUAAAGGUGCUGGGACAUGGAGGAAGGAGUUGCAGGAGAGGCUGGACUGAAGCCAAAAGAAGGACCUGGAAGUGAAGCAUGAGUGCAGGUGUGCCUGUCCUGUUUGGCCUCCUGAAUGUCAGGUCAGUGCCUAUCUGGGUGAGGAAUUUCAAGAACUUUGGGACCUCUGGGAUGGCAGUGGAGGUAGGACAGAGGAACAGAAGGAAGAUUGAGGAACAAUUUUAACUUGGUCCCCACCUCUCUGCUGAGCUCAGGUGAGACAUGUUGAUGUAAGAGCGCCUCAUCUAUCCACACCCCCAGCUCACCCUAGCCUUAGAAGUGAUCCGGGAAUAGAACACCUGGGUGGCUCAGUUGGUUAAGCGCCUGCUGUUGGCUCAGGUCAUGAUCUCACGGUUCAUGGGUUCGAGCCCUACAUCCGGGCUCUCUACUGUCUGCUGGGAGCCUGCUCUGGAUCCUCUGUCCCCUCUCUCUCUGCCCCUCCCCUCCUCAAUAAUUAAUUAAUUAGUUAAUUUUUAAAAAGUGAUCUGGAAAGAACAGAAA
Molecule: long non-coding RNA, 986 nt
Filed under: Lynx canadensis (Canada lynx)
Lineage: Eukaryota; Metazoa; Chordata; Mammalia; Carnivora; Felidae
Description: lncRNA (ENSLCNG00005020518.1)
Source: RNAcentral